GAUGAGAAGUGGCUCUGUGCAAGGCUGUGACAUGCAGAGAUGUGGCUCCUCUGAACCCAGGGAGGGUGGGGAGAGAGAAGACAUAACUUGACUCUCAGAUUUCUAGCAAAGAACUUUCCCUUCCAUUUGACUGGAGACUCCUCCUCUGAUACUGGGGGAGAUGUCCACCGAAGAGGUAUGUAAAGGAAGGAAAGGACAUGGGAGGGCUGCUUUGGGGACAUGGAAUAGUCACUAUGUUGAAUGGGGGGCUCAAAGACCGAAGACUGGACCUCUUUCUGCAGCACUGGUUCAGUGUCCCUGGAAUAUGACUCAUUGUCUCUGGGCCACAGUAUUCUCAUCCACACAAUGGAAAUUAUACCACCCACACAUCCUAAGGUGAGGCACUGUGUAGCUAUGGGUGGGCACACCUGUGGCAUGGGAGGGUAAGAGCUUGUCAGACAGACUUGAGGGGUAAGGCCAGACUCUGCCCAUUCUUAGCUGCAUGCUCUUGUGAAAUCAAUCCCCUUUUCUGAGUCUACCCAGAACCCAAACUGGACUAUAGACUGACAUGGACUGUACCUCAAAGGACAUCAGGACAAAUGAAUCUUUCUGAAGAUUGGGAGACUGAGUCCUAGACAGGGCAAAGGACUUAUGUGGGGCACUGAGGCAGCUGGAAGCAGGACCUCAGCCUGAGCCCUCCCUAGAAGACUGGCUGAAACUCUCUUCCGACUGCAGGCCCCUCAGCAACUAAACCAACCAUUUCCUUCAAAACAAUUUACCCUAGGCAAAAACAUCUGGGGAGCAAAUACUACAUCUUGGUCUGAACAAAAAGACAGCUUGGUUUUUAGCCUAAGGUUUUCUGUGGGUCCACGUACACUCCUCUCUUGAAAUCACCAUGAAAAUGUUGUGGAUUUGUGGGUUUUGCUGGGAAUGGUGCCUACAUAGAGCUAUUUUGGGGUCUUUACAAGGGUCUUUAAGGAGCUGAAAAUUUCUGGGCCUUUCUGAGGGACCUUACGUAUCUCCUUAUUUGAAAACACUAGAAUGUGCAGUCAGCCAUGGAGCUAAUCUUUAAGCAAAAUAGGACAGGCCACACACAUACACACACCCACUUCCCAAGGAGGAGGAAGGGACAGCAACAGGUCCUGGCCUCCUGAGGCUGCCCUUGGUGGUUGUCUGAUACUGUGCAGGGAGGGGCUCCUCAGUUGUGCUGGGCACUGUCACUACAGCUGACAUUCACAGUACACACACACACACAGAGCCAGGCACAGGGACCAGGCCUACCCACCAGGUCUCCAACCAUGCAGCCUUGAACUCAGGGCACAGACGCGGCAGCAAAGGGGUCCCAAGCUGACACAGGGAGGGCAAAACAUACACAGUCACAGCCUUAGUCAUUCACACAGACUCAUGCAUCACACGUUUCACACCCCCUCAAGACACAUAUGCACACGGUCACAGCCGCACUCAUUCACGACUCAUACAUCACACAAAUUACACACACAGAGACCCAUACUCACAAAACCAGACAUACACCCAGAUAUACACACACAGAGAUAGAGAUACACCAGGUAUCUCCAGACACAUGCACAAACAUUGUCACAUACACAUACAGCCACAUAUCCUCACCCACGCAGGCUUAUGCAUGCAUGUACACACGCAAUCCAGGCAUCCCAAUGCCUACCCGGGCCCCUACCACUGUAAACUCUCUCUGCGUCAGGGGUGGGGGGUGUCAAUGUUUACUAGCCCUAGAGACCAGACUGGGCUUCCAACUGGCACCAGGGAGACAGAGUGGAGGGGCAGAGGGGCAGUGGAAGACUGUCUGAUUUUCACCCUCCUAUGUGCGGGGUGGGGAAAGGAAGGUGAGGAGACCCUGACUGCCAAGGGAACAGUCCCCUGGCUCCUGGAGGUGGCUCCAAGGACUGAGAACUCGGGUAGGGGAAGGGAGGGUUUAAUUUCCCAAAUCGAACCACUCCGUUUUCCUGAAGUCUGGUCCCCUUUUGGCCUGUAGCUACGUGAGCGCCCCUCCCCCAACGCGCCCUGCUCCCCGCCCAGCUCCUCUCACCCAGAUCUCCUGAGACCACCCACCUGCUCCUACACAAGAGAGGGGUCCUAUCAAACACACCCAGGCAUGCCCCCUACGUUUGGAGGACCCUCGUGCUGCGUGCACCCCCACAAACAGCUUCCAGACAUCCAGAGUCCUUCCAUACUUAGGACCCCCCACUCAUUCGCCAUAUCCCCAGCCUUGCGGGAGCACCAAGCCUAGGAAAUUGAUCUGUGCUGAUCUUUCCUUGAAAACCUGGAGCUUUCCCUCCAAGAUAAAGGACUUGACAGCGUUUGGCUCAAUAGCCACAGGAAGAUGGGCCUGGCUGAAACCAGAGAUUGCCCAACUUCUGAAUCUGGAGCUCGGCCCCUGCUGCAGUUGGAACAUUCACCACUAGGAGCAACCCUCACCUAAGAACAAUGUAGGAAGAGUUGGACCCUCCAUGGGGCCAGAGCAGGUAAACUUACUCAGGUCUCAAAGGCUUUUUUCCAGAGUCUGAAAAUGGCUAUCAGCUGACCCAGGCUACCCAGGCUACACCUCAUACCUCGCCGCUGACCGAUGGUGCUGCUGCUGACCACUCACUCUGGAGGAGGCCCACCAUCAAGUCAUGAGAACCUUCAAUCAAAUAGCGUGUGCACAGGCCCGUUGGGGGAGGAACUGAAGCCUCCGAGAACUCACCAGUGUGUGAGUGAGUGAACUACCUAAAGACGGAUCCUCCAGCAAAAUUCCAUUUUCUUCAAGGAUUUUCCCUAGGCCAUGUAACCUUCUUUCUUCCGAACCGCUACAUUUCUUUUCCGUAUUAUUUUUGCUCUAAUCAUAUAUUGCCUCAUUUCUUCAUCUGUUAUAAAAUUUCUUAUUUCUCUGACAGUUUUCAUAGGAAUCAGUGAGGAUUUUCAUUCAUUUAGUAGCUGUUGGCCUUGUGUCCCCCUCUCUCUACCUCUCAGGUCUCACUGAAGAGCUGGGCAAAGUAGAAUCUCACUUUGGGGAGUUUUAAUUUAGAAGUACAGUAGGGGGUGCGCCAGCCCCAUAUACCGAGGGUGGUGGGUUUGAACCCAGCCCCAGCCAAACUGCAACAAAAAAAUAGCCGGGCAUUGUGGCGGGUGCCUAUAGUCCCAGCUACUCGGGAGGCUGAGGCAAGAGAAUCGCCUAAGCCCAAGACCUGGAGGUUGCUGUGAGCUGUGAUGCCAUGGUACUCUACCAAGGGUGACAAAGUGAGACUCCAUCUUUAAAACAAAAAAUAGAAGUACAGUACGGUA
Molecule: long non-coding RNA, 3273 nt
Organism: Nycticebus coucang (slow loris)
Lineage: Eukaryota; Metazoa; Chordata; Mammalia; Primates; Lorisidae
Exons: 3
Source: RefSeq, a predicted model, not a curated record